This 460-nucleotide ribosomal RNA is filed under the name uncultured bacterium. RNAcentral's name for it is "partial 16S ribosomal RNA". It matches the Rfam family "Bacterial small subunit ribosomal RNA", at positions 338 to 795 of the family's 1533-position model. The record is from RNAcentral.
CCUACGGGAGGCAGCAGUGAGGAAUAUUGGUCAAUGGACGAGAGUCUGAACCAGCCAAGUAGCGUGAAGGAUGACUGCCCUAUGGGUUGUAAACUUCUUUUAUAUGGGAAUAAAAUGUUCCACGUGUGGGAUUUUGUAUGUACCAUAUGAAUAAGGAUCGGCUAACUCCGUGCCAGCAGCCGCGGUAAUACGGAGGAUCCGAGCGUUAGCCGGAUUUAUUGGGUUUAAAGGGAGCUUAGGUGGAUUGUUAAGUCAGUUGUGAAAGUUUGCGGCUCAACCGUAAAAUUGCAGUUGAAACUGGCAGUCUUGAGUACAGUAGAGGUGGGCGGAAUUCGUGGUGUAGCGGUGAAAUGCUUAGAUAUCACGAAGAACUCCGAUUGCGAAGGCAGUUCACUGGACUGCAACUGACACUGAGGCUCGAAAGUGUGGGUAUCAAACAGGAUUAGAUACCCGUGUAGUC